Molecule: ribosomal RNA, 253 nt
Filed under: uncultured bacterium
Lineage: Bacteria
Description: partial 16S ribosomal RNA
Rfam family: Bacterial small subunit ribosomal RNA
Source: RNAcentral
GACGGAGGAUUCAAGUGUUAUCCGGAAUCACUGGGCGUAAAGCGUCUGUAGGUUGUUUAAAAAGUCUGCAGUUAAAGGUUGAAGCUUAACUUCAAAAAUGCCGUAGAAACUUUUAAACUAGAGGAUGGUAGGGGUAGAGGGAAUUUCCAGUGGAGCGGUGAAAUGUGUAGAUAUUGGAAAGACCACCGAUGGCGAAGGCACUCUACUGGGCCAUGACUGACACUGAGAGACGAAAGCUAGGGGAGCAAAUGGG